RNAcentral lists this transfer RNA (72 nucleotides) under Parapercis hexophtalma (speckled sandperch). RNAcentral's name for it is "tRNA-Val". It matches the Rfam family "tRNA". From Rfam's summary of the family: Transfer RNA (tRNA) molecules are approximately 80 nucleotides in length. Their secondary structure includes four short double-helical elements and three loops (D, anti-codon, and T loops). Lineage: Eukaryota; Metazoa; Chordata; Actinopteri; Uranoscopiformes; Pinguipedidae. The record is from RNAcentral.
UAGGGCAUAGCUUAAAAGAAAAGCCACUCACUUACACCGAGUACAUGCCCGAUCAAACCGGACUGCCCUAAC